CGCUGGAAACGGCGUCUAAUACUGGAUAUGAGACGUGGCCGCAUGGUCAACGUUUGGAAAGAUUUUUCGGUCUGGGAUGGGCUCGCGGCCUAUCAGCUUGUUGGUGAGGUAAUGGCUCACCAAGGCGCKACGGGUAGCCGGCCUGAGAGGGUGACCGGCCACACUGGGACUGAGACACGGCCCAGACUCCUACGGGAGGCAGCAGUGGGGAAUAUUGCACAAUGGGCGGAAGCCUGAUGCAGCAACGCCGCGUGGGGAUGACGGCCUUCGGGUUGUAAACCUCUUUUAGCAAGGAAGAAGCUUUUGUGACGGUACUUGCAGAAAAAGCGCCGGCUAACUACGUGCCAGCAGCCGCGGUAAUACGUAGGGCGCAAGCGUUAUCGGAAUUAUUGGGCGUAAAGAGCUCGUAGGCGGUUUGUCGCGUCUGCUGUGAAAUCCCGAGGCUCAACCUCGGGCCUGCAGUGGGUACGGGCAGACUAGAGUGCGGUAGGGGAGAUUGGAAUUCCUGUGUAGCGGUGGAAUGCGCAGAUAUCAGGAGGAACACCGAUGGCGAAGGCAGAUCUCUGGGCCGUAACUGACGCUGAGGAGCGAAAGGGUGGGGAGCAAACAGGCUUAGAUACCCUGGUAGUCCACCCGUAAACGUUGGGAACUAGUUGUGGGGUCCUUUCCACGGAUUCCGUGACGCAGCUAACGCAUUAAGUUCCCCGCCUGGGGAGUACGGCCGCA
Molecule: ribosomal RNA, 726 nt
Filed under: Microbacterium sp.
Lineage: Bacteria; Bacillati; Actinomycetota; Actinomycetes; Micrococcales; Microbacteriaceae
Description: bacterial SSU rRNA
Rfam family: Bacterial small subunit ribosomal RNA
Source: RNAcentral